This 1077-nucleotide long non-coding RNA is filed under the name Callithrix jacchus (white-tufted-ear marmoset). Its description in RNAcentral is "lncRNA (ENSCJAG00000074086.1)". Lineage: Eukaryota; Metazoa; Chordata; Mammalia; Primates; Cebidae. The record is from RNAcentral.
GACAGUCUUGGCGGAAUGCCAGCUCUCUGAUUUCACACACUUAUCAACAUACCAGUUAUCUAGUGUUAUGUAACAACCCCACAACUUAGCUGUUCAAAGGAACAAGCAUUUAUUAUCUGAGUUUUGGUGGGGCAGGAAUGCUGGUCUGGCUUAGAUGGGUGCUUCUGACUCAGGAUCUCCCAUGAGGUCACAGUCAAGCUGUGCACCAGGGCUGCAGUCAUCUCAAUGGCCACCUCGAUCCAGAGUGUCGGCUUCAAAUCUCACUCACAUGGUUGUUGGUAGAACUCACUCAGUUCCUUGAUGCGUGGACCUCUACACAGGUGGCCUAAUGUUAUGUGUCCUCAUGUUAUGGCAACAAGUAAAGAAAGAGAGAGAGACCGCAAGAGAAAGCGAUCAAGAUGAAAGCAUUUAUUAUGAAGGAAAUCUGAAACAUGCAGCAGACUUGGAAGACUUCCUAUGCAAACCUGUAAAGCCACCACCUAGAUUCUACCACACAUUUUGUCGCAUGACAUUUUGUUGUUCAACCAUCUAUUCCUCUGUCAGCGGAUCUGUUGAGUUCUGAAAGAUUUAAAAGUAAACUGCAUACCUUGUUACAGGCUCCGCAUGCACAAAAUUAACUGCAGUUCAGUAUUUUUCUUUCAAUACAAAUGUUAUAUACAUUCACAUGAUCGUAAGUAUAAAUUCACUGUAUUGAUGAAAUAAGGUACUUAAGGGAUAAAGAUAUAGGAUAUUGUUUUCACCCCCCAAAGUUACUUUAAAUCCCUUACCCUGGUAAUACCCCCUCCACACACACACAUAUUCGCACAAACAUGCACAGUUGCCUCACUUCUGACUUUCUGUUUCAUCACACAUUAGUUUUGCCUAUUCUGGAAUUUCAAAUAAAUGUACUCUUUUGUGUAAGGUUUUCUUUUUUCCACAUCAUUUAAUGUUAUUGAAAUUCACUCAUUUUGAUGUGUGUAUCAGUAGUUUGUACUUUUUGCAAGUGACGGUUUACUGUAUGACCGUAUCACAGUUUGUUUAUCGAUUGAUGAACACCUGGCCGUGCCCAUUUGGGGGAUGUUAUGAAUAAAAUUGCUG